Molecule: long non-coding RNA, 1981 nt
Organism: Chrysemys picta bellii (western painted turtle)
Lineage: Eukaryota; Metazoa; Chordata; Testudines; Emydidae
Source: RefSeq, a predicted model, not a curated record
GAUCUCACUGCUCCGGGAAUUUCCCUGCUCUCUCCAGGAUUUCUAGAGAACCUUGGCCCCAGAAUGAGUUUAGGGACUAAUUAAAUCCAGAGAAGCAUCCUGCUGCUGAAGAAAGGUGGAUUAGUAGGACAAAGCAAUCCCUGGCCUAAACAAUAUCAGGAGGCUAUGCUAAGAGCAGGCCCUUCCCGGAGACUGGAAUGCAGGAGAGAGGAGCGUGUGAGAUGGGAGGGGAUGAGAAGCAGGUCGUCCAUCUGCACAUCCAAAGUUCUGUUUGGGAUCUUCAUAUAUUACAGUUUUGCUGAUACCUUCUUUUGCACCAGCUGGGGCAACUUCUAAAUCUGGAACAACAUUGCUGAGAGAAAAAAGACCUUCCUUCCUGUAAGCUGCUGAGUAUACUGCCUCCAAAUACAGCAAACAGGCCUAGCUUCACCUCUACACAUGAAUGGUGUUGGGUAUGAUGAGAGUGAUGAGAGGGCUAUUCAUUGGGCCACAGGGAAACACACGACAGCUUCCAAUCAAAACAAAAUAGGGAAAAUGUUAUGUAAAAUCGACUCUGUAUUCCUUUUUUUUUUUUUCUUAUUCCACUCUGUUGAUCUCUUUUGACUGCUGGAUGUUGUGACUUGUUUACAGGGGAUGUUUCUCCUGGCCUUGACCUAUAGGUUAAUAUGUCAGUGGCCUCAGGGUAGACCCUUUAGUUCCUUCUUUUCUACCUGAUUAAAUAUUAUUCUCGGGUCUCUUAGAAGAUGAGCCUUAAAGAGGCCACAAGACAGGAGAAAAAGGAGAGACUCUAGGUGUGCAAAAAGCUAAAGCCGGGUCACCUUGAAAUGAAAGGGAGUUUUGCCAUUCACUGCACUGGGGCCAUUAGCACAGCAUGUUUUUUUCAGUGAACUAUCCAGAAAUUAAACUUCCAGUAUCAAGGGCACUGUCUGUGAAUCUGGCUGAAAACACAUAUUCUCUCUGCGAGCAGUUCAUGCUAUCUUGGGCUUUCAUUCUGUUUGCAGUUGCACAUGCUCAUGUAUGGCUAACAGUUCUGGUCCAGUUUUAUGUUUUCCCUGUGGGUUUCUGCCGGAGAUGGGACAUCGGUGAUCAAGCCUUUCAGAAGAGACUAGCAAUUUUUGGAUGCCUUAGUUAUUAGGGACCCAACUUAAUGGAACCUGAUUUUUCAGAACAUGCUGGGCACCUACCCUUUGAAACCAGAACCGUUUAAGGUGUCUCAAGUUGGAUACCUCGAAAUGGAAGAAACCUAAAUCACUCAUCACUUCUGAAAACCUUGGCCCUCGUUCCUACUUCAGUCUAUAGAAGCAGAGAAUGAAAAAACCUUCUGUUGUAAGUUACAAGAACAAUCCAUGAAUGGCUUUAACAUCCUCUGCCCUCCUCUUUCAUAGCUACUGUGUAUCUCUGUUUUACUAAGUUAUUUAAACUGAGACUAAAUUUCUUCCCAGGCUCCUGGCCCCUCAUGGCAUGUUUUCUCUGUUGGAGAUUCAGUCCUUGUACAUCAUGUAGUAAAUAUAAAAAAGUAGGUUUACAGACCAAUGAAUAGAGAAAUCUCUUUCCAGGUCAAUGCAAGAAAUUAUAGAGCCUUGGAAAGCCCUAGUUUUAUCUCCUGCCAAAGGAGGGAUUAAGCCACAAUGAUUCCCAGGCCUAAGGGUUUUUUUGUUUUUUUUUUUGCUUCUGCCUUCUUUGAGUGCAAACUGACAGAGACGAGUUUUCACUCCAAACAGCUGUCUGUUAUUUGAAUGGAGUCAGUUCCUAAUCCCACACAUGACUAUCAUCAGAGUCUGCUGUAGUGGAAAUGUUUCUAGUAUCAAAACAAAGCCUUUGGCACAGAGACCUGUUUGAGCGGGCUCUACGCAUAACCCCUGAUUUCAAACACUAUCUUUUCUCAAAAGGCAGCACUCCGUUGGCUACCAAGCUAGUCAUUACCCAGUUAACUAAGAAAAGAUGCACUGAGAUUUGCAUAAUUAUAAAGAAGCAAAAUAAA